RNAcentral lists this microRNA precursor (76 nucleotides) under Eptesicus fuscus (big brown bat). RNAcentral's name for it is "microRNA efu-mir-9309 precursor". The record is from miRBase by way of RNAcentral. Lineage: Eukaryota; Metazoa; Chordata; Mammalia; Chiroptera; Vespertilionidae.
UUUGCUCUGGCCCGAGUGAAGACUGAAGACUGAAGACUGAAGAGGCUUGGCUUCUCCGCUCCGGCCGGAGCAGAGA